RNAcentral lists this ribosomal RNA (497 nucleotides) under uncultured bacterium. RNAcentral's name for it is "partial 16S ribosomal RNA". It matches the Rfam family "Bacterial small subunit ribosomal RNA", at positions 28 to 507 of the family's 1533-position model. The record is from RNAcentral.
GAUGAACGCUGGCGGCGUGCCUAAUACAUGCAAGUCGAGCGGACGGACGAUAAGCUUGCUUCUCUGAUGUUAGCGGCGGACGUGUGAGUAACACGUGGAUAACCUACCUAUAAGACUGAUAUCACUUCGGGAAACCGGAGCUAAUACCAUAUAAUCUUUUGAACCACAUGGUUCAAAGGUAAAAUACGGUCUUGCGGGCACUUAUAGAUGGAUCCGCGCUUCAUUAGCUAGUUGUUAAGUUAACGGCCUACCAAGGCAACUAUGCAUAGCCCACCUGAUAGGGUGAUCGGCCACCUGGGAACGGAGCCACGGUCAAUAGUACUACGGGAGGCAGCAGUAGGGAAUCUUACGCAAUGGGCGAAAGCAUGACGGAGUAACGCCGAGCGAGUGAUGACGGCGUUCGGAGCGUAAAACUCUGUUAUUAGGUAAGAACAUAUGUGUCAGUAGAUGUGCCGAUAUUGACGGUAACUAAUCAGAAAGCACCGGCUAACUACGUG